AGGCAGCAGUGGGGAAUAUUGCACAAUGGGCGCAAGCCUGAUGCAGCCAUGCCGCGUGUGUGAAGAAGGCCUUCGGGUUGUAAAGCACUUUCAGUCGUGAGGAAGGUAGUGUAGUUAAUAGCUGCAUUAUUUGACGUUAGCGACAGAAGAAGCACCGGCUAACUCCGUGCCAGCAGCCGCGGUAAUACGGAGGGUGCGAGCGUUAAUCGGAAUUACUGGGCGUAAAGCGCAUGCAGGUGGUUUGUUAAGUCAGAUGUGAAAGCCCGGGGCUCAACCUCGGAAUAGCAUUUGAAACUGGCAGACUAGAGUACUGUAGAGGGGGUAGAAUUUCAGGUGUAGCGGUGAAAAUGCGUAGAGAUCUGAAGGAAUACCGGUGGCGAAGGCGGCCCCCUGGACAGAUACUGACACUCAGAUGCGAAAGCGGUGGGGAGACAAACAGGAUUAGAUACCCUGGUAG
RNAcentral lists this ribosomal RNA (457 nucleotides) under uncultured bacterium. RNAcentral describes it as "bacterial SSU rRNA". It matches the Rfam family "Bacterial small subunit ribosomal RNA", at positions 346 to 793 of the family's 1533-position model. The record is from RNAcentral.